Molecule: ribosomal RNA, 644 nt
Filed under: uncultured bacterium
Lineage: Bacteria
Description: bacterial SSU rRNA
Rfam family: Bacterial small subunit ribosomal RNA
Source: RNAcentral
CUUCGAUGGAUAGGGGUUCUGAGAGGAAGGUCCCCCACAUUGGAACUGAGACACGGUCCAAACUCCUACGGGAGGCAGCAGUGAGGAAUAUUGGUCAAUGGGCGAGAGCCUGAACCAGCCAAGUAGCGUGAAGGAUGACUGCCCUAUGGGUUGUAAACUUCUUUUAUAAAGGAAUAAAGUCGGGUAUGGAUACCCGUUUGCAUGUACUUUAUGAAUAAGGAUCGGCUAACUCCGUGCCAGCAGCCGCGGUAAUACGGAGGAUCCGAGCGUUAUCCGGAUUUAUUGGGUUUAAAGGGAGCGUAGAUGGAUGUUUAAGUCAGUUGUGAAAGUUUGCGGCUCAACCGUAAAAUUGCAGUUGAUACUGGAUAUCUUGAGUGCAGUUGAGGCAGGCGGAAUUCGUGGUGUAGCGGUGAAAUGCUUAGAUAUCACGAAGAACUCCGAUUGCGAAGGCAGCCUGCUAAGCUGCAACUGACAUUGAGGCUCGAAAGUGUGGGUAUCAAACAGGAUUAGAUACCCUGGUAGUCCACACGGUAAACGAUGAAUACUCGCUGUUUGCGAUAUACGGCAAGCGGCCAAGCGAAAGCGUUAAGUAUUCCACCUGGGGAGUACGCCGGCAACGGUGAAACUCAAAGGAAUUGACGGGG